RNAcentral lists this long non-coding RNA (723 nucleotides) under Glycine max (soybean). Its description in RNAcentral is "long non-coding RNA (GMAX_LNC003017)". Lineage: Eukaryota; Viridiplantae; Streptophyta; Magnoliopsida; Fabales; Fabaceae. The record is from RNAcentral.
CCACCUUCACCUAUUCAUUAUCCACCUAAUGUUCCAACACCUCCAAAAACUCCUUCCCCUGUAUACACUCCUCCCAAUGUUCCCACUCAAGCACCUUCACCUGCUAAUCAUCCUCCAUAUAUUCCAACUCCUCCACAAACUCCUUCCCCAGUUUAUACUCCUCCUAAUUUUCCAACGCCUCCAAAAAUACCCUCUCCUGUGUACACUCCCCCAAAAGCUCCUUCCCCUAGUAACAAUCCACCCUAUGUUCCUACACCUCCAAAAACACCUUCUCCUUCUUAUAAUCCUCCUAAUGUUCCCACUCCUCCCAAAACACCUUCACCUAUUUACACUCCACCAAAUGUUCCUACUCCUCCAAAAACACCAUCUCCUGCUUAUAGUCCUCCAAAUGCUCCUUCCCCUCAUAACCAACCAAAUGUUCCUACUCCUCCAAAAACACCAUCUCCUGCUUAUAGUCCUCCAAAUGCUCCUUCCCCUCAUAACCAACCUCCCUAUGUUCCUACACCUCCAAAAACACCUUCUCCUUCUUAUAAUCCUCCUAAUGUUCCCACUCCUCCCAAAACACCUUCACCUAUUUACACUCCACCAAAUGUUCCUACUCCUCCAAAAACACCAUCUCCUGCUUAUAGUCCUCCAAAUGCUCCUUCCCCUCAUAACCAACCUCCCUAUGUUCCUACACCUCCAAAAACACCUUCUCCUUCUUAUAAUCCUCCUAAUGUUNNN